GAUGAACGCUAGCGGCAGGCUUAACACAUGCAAGUCGAGGGGUAUAGUAGCAAUACUAGAGACCGGCGCACGGGUGCGUAACGCGUAUGCAAUCUACCUUUUACAGAGGGAUAGCCCAGAGAAAUUUGGAUUAAUACCUCAUAGCAUUGCGAAAUGGCAUCAUUUUGUAAUUAAAGUCACAACGGUAAAAGAUGAGCAUGCGUCCCAUUAGCUAGUUGGUAAGGUAACGGCUUACCAAGGCAACGAUGGGUAGGGGUCCUGAGAGGGAGAUCCCCCACACUGGUACUGAGACACGGACCAGACUCCUACGGGAGGCAGCAGUGAGGAAUAUUGGACAAUGGGCGCAAGCCUGAUCCAGCCAUGCCGCGUGCAGGAUGACGGUCCUAUGGAUUGUAAACUGCUUUUUGUACGAGAAGAAACACUCCGACGUGUCGGAGCUUGACGGUAUCGUAAGAAUAAGGAUCGGCUAACUCCGUGCCAGCAG
RNAcentral lists this ribosomal RNA (484 nucleotides) under uncultured bacterium. RNAcentral's name for it is "bacterial SSU rRNA". It matches the Rfam family "Bacterial small subunit ribosomal RNA", at positions 28 to 514 of the family's 1533-position model. The record is from RNAcentral.